RNAcentral lists this unclassified non-coding RNA (349 nucleotides) under soil metagenome. Its description in RNAcentral is "partial contains 5.8S ribosomal RNA, internal transcribed spacer 2, and large subunit ribosomal RNA". The stretch from base 1 to 120 matches the Rfam family "5.8S ribosomal RNA", at positions 35 to 154 of the family's 154-position model. The record is from RNAcentral.
GAUGAAGAACGUAGCGAAAUGCGAUAACUAAUGUGAAUUGCAGAAUUCCGUGAAUCAUCGAGUCUUUGAACGCACAUUGCGCCCCCUGGUAUUCCGGGGGGCAUGCCUGUCCGAGCGUCAUUGCUGCCCAUCAAGCACGGCUUGUGUGUUGGGUCCUCGUCCCCCCCGGGGGACGUGCCCGAAAGGCAGCGGCGGCACCGCGUCCGGUCCUCGAGCGUAUGGGGCUUUGUCACCCGCUCUGCAGGCCCGGCCGGCGCUGGCCGACGCGAAAGCAACUAUUUUUUCUCCAGGUUGACCUCGGAUCAGGUAGGGAUACCCGCUGAACUUAAGCAUAUCAAUAAGCGGAGGA